Molecule: transfer RNA, 65 nt
Filed under: Anopheles punctulatus
Lineage: Eukaryota; Metazoa; Arthropoda; Insecta; Diptera; Culicidae
Description: tRNA-Cys
Source: RNAcentral
AGCUUUAUAGUCAAUAAUGAUAUUAGACUGCAAUUCUAAAGGAAUAAUUAAACUUAUUAAAGCUU